CUUUGAUGGCAAAUUCGAGCUCUGACAGAGGGAAAGAAUGGAGAUCGAUCAACUCCUGUUCAGCCCAGCCCAUUGAAAAGAUUGAAUUCGUGCAGCCAUCAAGGCCUAUGUGACUCACAUGCUUCACAUCUGUCGAUUGGUGCAUCACAACUGGAAUGCUGGAUUCCGAGAUGCAGCCUGCAGCAAAGGGCAGGAGUACGAAUCUCUCCAAUCGAUCCUUCAUGUUGAAACAAGUUAUGAGUUCUGGACACAUAUUGUUAGAAUAUAUAUGCUGCAUAUUGGCUUUAGUUUUAAGUUAUAAUUAUACUGAGGAAUGGGAGUCAAUAUCUACUCAAGUGUAUGACUCCAAGUACGAAAGGUGAUUUGAGUUAAUA
Long non-coding RNA from Salvia splendens (bonfire salvia), 374 nucleotides. RefSeq lists it as uncharacterized. The transcript is spliced from 2 exons. NCBI's taxonomy places the organism in Eukaryota, Viridiplantae, Streptophyta, Magnoliopsida, Lamiales, Lamiaceae. The record is from RefSeq and is a predicted model, not a curated record.